GACGAACCGAGCGAACGUUGUUCGGAAUCACUGGGCUUAAAGGGCGCGUAGGCGGGUGCUCAAGUCCGGGGUGAAAUCCCACAGCUCAACUGUGGAACUGCCUCGGAUACUGGGUGUCUCGAGGGUGGCAGGGGUAUGCGGAACUAUCGGUGGAGCGGUGAAAUGCGUUGAUAUCGAUAGGAACUCCGGUGGCGAAGGCGGCAUACUGGUCCACUUCUGACGCUGAGGCGCGAAAGCCAGGGGGAGCAAAACGGGG
RNAcentral lists this ribosomal RNA (256 nucleotides) under uncultured bacterium. RNAcentral describes it as "partial 16S ribosomal RNA". It matches the Rfam family "Bacterial small subunit ribosomal RNA", at positions 524 to 778 of the family's 1533-position model. The record is from RNAcentral.